AUUAGAUACCCUGGUAGUCCACGCCGUAAACGAUGAUUACUAGGUGUCGGUGGGUAUGGACCCAUCGGUGCCGCAGCAAACGCAGUAAGUAAUCCACCUGGGGAGUACGUUCGCAAGAAUGAAACUCAAAGGAAUUGACGGGGACCCGCACAAGCGGUGGAGCAUGUGGUUUAAUCCGAAGCAACGCGAAGAACCUUACCAAGUCUUGACAUCUGGAUGACGAGGACUUAAUCGUCCUUUCUCUUCGGAGCAUCCAAGACAGGUGGUGCAUGGUUGUCGUCAGCUCGUGUCGUGAGAUGUUGGGUUAAGUCCCGCAACGAGCGCAACCCUUAUCUUCAGUAGCCAGCGAGUGAAGUCGGGCACUCUGGAGAGACUGCCGGGGAUAACCCGGAGGAAGGUGGGGAUGACGUCAAAUCAUCAUGCCCCUUAUGAUUUGGGCUACACACGUGCUACAAUGGCGUAAACAGAGGGAAGCGAGCCCGCGAGGGGGAGCGAAUCCCAAAAAUAACGUCCCAGUUCGGAUUGUAGUCUGCAACUCGACUACAUGAAGCUGGAAUCGCUAGUAAUCGCGGAUCAGAAUGCCGCGGUGAAUACGUUCCCGGGUCUUGUACACACCGCCCGUCACACCAUGGGAGUCGGAAAUGCCCGAAGUCUGUGACCCAACCGCAAGGAGGGAGCAGCCGAAGGCAGGUCGGAUGACUGGGGUGAAGUCGUAACAAGGUAAC
This 725-nucleotide ribosomal RNA is filed under the name uncultured bacterium. Its description in RNAcentral is "bacterial SSU rRNA". It matches the Rfam family "Bacterial small subunit ribosomal RNA", at positions 777 to 1500 of the family's 1533-position model. The record is from RNAcentral.